CGGGAAUAUUGCGCAAUGGAGGAAACUCUGACGCAGUGACGCCGCGUGCAGGAAGAAGGUUUUCGGAUUGUAAACUGCUUUAGACAGGGAAGAAAAAAGACAGUACCUGUAGAAUAAGCUCCGGCUAACUACGUGCCAGCAGCCGCGGUAAUACGUAGGGAGCGAGCGUUAUCCGGAUUUAUUGGGUGUAAAGGGUGCGUAGACGGGAAAUUAAGUUAGUUGUGAAAUCCCACGGCUCAACUGUGGAACUGCAACUAAAACUGAUUUUCUUGAGUACUGGAGAGGAAAGUGGAAUUCCUAGUGUAGCGGUGAAAUGCGUAGAUAUUAGGAGGAACACCAGUGGCGAAGGCGACUUUCUGGACAGAAACUGACGUUGAGGCACGAAAGUGUGGGGAGCAAAC
RNAcentral lists this ribosomal RNA (401 nucleotides) under uncultured bacterium. Its description in RNAcentral is "bacterial SSU rRNA". It matches the Rfam family "Bacterial small subunit ribosomal RNA", at positions 356 to 773 of the family's 1533-position model. The record is from RNAcentral.